CAGUCGAACGGACUCAUAUUGAAACCUAGUGAUUUAUGAGUUAGUGGCGGACGGGUGAGUAACGCGUGGAUAACCUGCCGUAUACCGGGGGAUAACGCUUAGAAAUAGGUGCUAAUACCGCAUAAGCGCACGGCUCCGCAUGGGGCAGUGUGAAAAACUCCGGUGGUAUACGAUGGAUCCGCGUCUGAUUAGCUAGUUGGCGGGGUAACGGCCCACCAAGGCAGCGAUCAGUAGCCGGCCUGAGAGGGUGGACGGCCACAUUGGGACUGAGACACGGCCCAAACUCCUACGGGAGGCAGCAGUGGGGAAUAUUGCACAAUGGGGGAAACCCUGAUGCAGCGACGCCGCGUGAGUGAAGAAGUAUCUCGGUACGUAAAGCUCUAUCAGCAGGGAAGAAAAUGACGGUACCUGACUAAGAAGCCCCGGCUAACUACGUGCCAGCAGCCGCGGUAAUACGUAGGGGGCAAGCGUUAUCCGGAUUUACUGGGUGUAAAGGGAGCGUAGACGGCAGCACAAGUCUGGAGUGAAAUCCCGGGGCUUAACCCCGGAACUGCUUUGGAAACUGUGCGGCUGGAGUGCAGGAGGGGUAAGCGGAAUUCCUAGUGUAGCGGUGAAAUGCGUAGAUAUUAGGAGGAACACCGGUGGCGAAGGCGGCUUACUGGACUGUAACUGACGUUGAGGCUCGAAAGCGUGGGGAGCAAACAGGAUUAGAUACCCUGGUAGUCCACGCCGUANACGAUGAUUACUAGGUGUCGGGGGNUCAAGGUCCUCCGGUGCCGGCGCA
RNAcentral lists this ribosomal RNA (784 nucleotides) under uncultured bacterium. RNAcentral's name for it is "bacterial SSU rRNA". It matches the Rfam family "Bacterial small subunit ribosomal RNA", at positions 59 to 853 of the family's 1533-position model. The record is from RNAcentral.